AGCGAACGCUGGCGGCAGGCCUAACACAUGCAAGUCGAACGAACCUUUCGGGGUUAGUGGCGGACGGGUGAGUAACACGUGGGAACGUGCCUUUAGGUUCGGAAUAACUCAGGGAAACUUGUGCUAAUACCGAAUGUGCCCUUCGGGGGAAAGAUUUAUCGCCUUUAGAGCGGCCCGCGUCUGAUUAGCUAGUUGGUUGAGGUAAUGGCUCACCAAGGCGACGAUCAGUAGCUGGUCUGAGAGGAUGAUCAGCCACAUUGGGACUGAGACACGGCCAAAACUCCACCGGGAGGAGGCGGGGGGAAAUCUUGCGAAAGGGCGAAAGGCCGGACGAACCCGUGCCGGGUGAAGGAUAAGGUUCUAAGAUUUGAAAAUUUUUUCCCCGGGGGACGAUAAGGCGGGUCCCGGAAAAAGAGCCCCCGGCAACCUUCGUC
Molecule: ribosomal RNA, 434 nt
Filed under: uncultured bacterium
Lineage: Bacteria
Description: partial 16S ribosomal RNA
Rfam family: Bacterial small subunit ribosomal RNA
Source: RNAcentral